Molecule: ribosomal RNA, 390 nt
Filed under: uncultured Scuticociliatia
Lineage: Eukaryota; Ciliophora; Oligohymenophorea
Description: partial small subunit ribosomal RNA
Rfam family: Eukaryotic small subunit ribosomal RNA
Source: RNAcentral
GCUUGUCUCAAAGAUUAAGCCAUGCAUGUCUAAGUAUAAAUAGUAUACAGUGAAACUGCGAAUGGCUCAUUAAAACAGUUAUAGUUUAUUUGAUAAUUGAAAAUUACAUGGAUAACCGUGGUAAUUCUAGAGCUAAUACAUGCUAUCAAGCCCGACUUCUUGAAGGGUUGUAUUUAUUAGACUUAAGCCAAUAUUCCUUGUGUCUAUUGCGAUGAUUCAUAAUAACUGAUCGAAUCUCAAAUUUGAGAUAAAUCAUUCAAGUUUCUGCCCUAUCAGCUUUCGAUGGUAGGUUACGCGCCUACCAUGGUUGCAACGGGUAACGGGGAAUCGGGGUUCGAUUCCGGAGAGGGAGCCUGAGAAACGGCUACCACAUCCAAGGAAGGCAGCAGG